Molecule: ribosomal RNA, 253 nt
Filed under: uncultured bacterium
Lineage: Bacteria
Description: partial 16S ribosomal RNA
Rfam family: Bacterial small subunit ribosomal RNA
Source: RNAcentral
UACAGAGGUCCCAAGCGUUGUUCGGAUUUACUGGGCGUAAAGGGCGCGUAGGUGGCUUAGUUAGUCUGAUGUGAAAGCCCCGGACUCAAUUCGGGAAGUGCAUUGGAUACUGCUAGGCUGGAGUAUGGGAGAGGUGAGCGGAAUUCCAGGUGUAGAGGUGAAAUUCGUAGAUAUCUGGAGGAACAACAGUGGCGAAGGCGGCUCACUGGACCAUUACUGACACUGAGAUGCGAAAGCGUGGGGAGCAAACAGG